CUCUGUUCUCACCUUCUAUGCACAUGAGGUGUUCGAUGAAAUGCCUGAGCCACACUAAAGCUUUCUCUCCUCUCCAAGCUCGACCUCCAAGCUUCAUUUUGCCCACGAUUUGUCUAGGUUUGGCGGUGCACCAACUAUCCAAGUGUUCUAAAAAGAUUAGCAACUUCAUCCUCAUCUCUCACUACUAGUUUAGCUCAUUUCAAAACUCUCGAAGUAGUGUGGUUUGGUGCCGUCCCGUCCCCGUCCCCGUCGUCCUCACCCCCGUCGAUCGCCCGCGCCGAUCUCGUCGCCAGCACCAUCGUGAUGAACCACCAAUGAAUGUACGGUGACCGACGCACUUCGGAGUACAUUAUGGGCCUGCGUAAUUUUCUCGGUGUGGCCACGGCAACCAAGCAGAAUGGUUUUAUGUACUGUCCAUGUGUUCACUAUGGGAAUACGAAGAAUUACUCAUCCCCGAAAACCCUUCACGUCCACUUGCUUGAGAAGGGAUUCAUGCCCCACUAUUAUGUUUGGACCAAGCACGGACAAAGAGGGGUUGUGAUGGAAGACAAUGAAGAAGAAGGGGACGAUGACAACUAUCCGCAUGCUAUGUUCCCUGAAUACGGUGAUACUACAAUGGGGGAAGCUCAAGAUCAAGAGGCACCAGAUGUGCCCGAUGAUAAUCUUCGCCGGGUCAUUGUUGAUGCAGAGAGAGGAUGCGAAAAUGAAAGGGAGAAGUUGAAGUUCGAUCACAUGUUAGAGGAUCACAAAAAAUGGUUGUACCCAAGUUGCAAAGAUGGCAACACAAAGCUCGGUACCACAAUGGAAUUGCUGCAAUUGAAGGCAGAGAAUGGUGUAUCUGACAAGGGAUUUGGUUCGCUACUGAUAAUAGUGAACAAGAAGCUUCCAAAGGAUAACGAAUUGCCUGACAGUAUGUAUGAGGCAAAGAAGGUUUUCUGCCCUCUAGGUUUAGAGGUGCAGAACAUACAUGCAUGCCCUAAUGACUGUAUCCUCUACCGCGGUGAGGAGUACGACAAUUUGCAUGCAUGCCCGGUAUGUGGUGCACUGCGGUAUAAGAUGAGACGAGAUGACCCUGGUGAUGUUGAGGGCGAGCGCCCCAGGAAGAGGGUUCCUGCCAUGGUGAUGUGGUAUGCUCCGAUAAUACCAUGGUUGAAACGUUUGUUUGGAAACAAUGAGCAUGACAAGUUAUUGCGAUGGCACAAAUAAGACCGUAAGAAAGAUUGGAUGUUGAGAGUACCCGCUGACGGGUCGCAAUGGAGAAAAAUUGAGAGACAGUGGCGGGACUUUGCAGGUGACGCAAGGAAUGUAUGGUUUGGUUUAAGUGCAUAUGGCAUUAAUCCUUUUGGGGAGCAGAGCAACCAUCAUAGCACUUGGCAUGUGACUCUACGUAUCUAUAACCUUCCUCCUUGGUUGUGCAUGAAGCAGAAGUUAAUUAUGAUGCCAGUCCUCAUCCAAGGCCGGAAGCAACCCGGCAUUGACAUUGAUGUGUACCUAAGGCCAUUAGUUGAAGAACUUUUAUAGCUGUGGGUCAAAAAAGGUGUACUUCCAUGGGCUGAGCACAAACAGGAGGAAUCUAACCUAUGACCGUUGUUGUCUGUAACCAUCAAUGAUUAGCCUGCUCUAAGUAACCUUCCAGGACAGACAAACAAGGGAUACAACGCAUGCAUGCACUAUUUAGAUCAGACUGAAAGUAUAUAUUUGCACAAAUGCAAGAGAAUGUGUACCUGGGACAUCGUCGAUUUCUUCCGGCCAAGCAUGCCUUAAGAAAGAAAGGCAAGCAUUUCAAAGGUGAGGCAGAUCACCAGAAGAAGCCCAUCCUCCGUACUGGUGAUGGUAUACUUGACAUGGUCAACGAUUUACAAAUAAUCUUUGGAAAGGGUCAUGGCGGACAAUCUGUUCCGAAUGACGCUAAGGGACAUGCACCCAUGUGAAAGAAGAAAUCUAUAUUUUGGGACCUACCCUAUUGGAAAGACCUAGAGGUACGCUCUGCAAUCGACGUGAUGCACGUGACAAAGAAAGUUUGUGUGAACCUGCUAGGCUUCUUGGGCGUGUACGGGAAGACAAAAGAUACACCGGAGGCUCACGAGGACCAGGAACGUGUCAAUGACAAAGAUGACAUGGAUCCAAAGCGGUAUCAAGGUCCUGCCAGCUACACUCUUAAAAAAGCAAAGAAGGAAAUUUUUUUGAAUGUCUGCUCCGUAUCAAGGUCCUGUCUAGCUUCUCGUCGAAUAUAAAGGGAAUAAUAAAUAUGGCAGAGAAAAAAAUUCUAGAACCUAAAGUCUCAUGACUUCCACUUGAUUAUGACGCAACUGCUUCCGGUUGCAUUGAGGGGGCUUCUACCAGAAAAUGUUCGAUUAGCCAUUGUGAAGCUAUGUGCAUUCCUCAAUGCAAUUUCUCAGAAGUUAAUCGAUCGAGAAAUCCUACAAAGGUUACAGAGUGAUUUGGUCCAAUGUCUUGUCAGUUUGGAGUUGGUGUUCCCACCAUCCUUCCUCAACAUUAUGACGCACGUCCUAGUUCAGCUAGUCCAAGAGAUUGUCAUUCUACGUCUUGUAUUUCUACACAAUAUGUUCCCCUUUGAGAGGGUUCAUGGGAGUCUUAAAGAAAUAUGUCUGUUACCGUGCUAGGCCAGAAAGAAGCAUCUCUAAUGGCCAUGAAACAGAGGAGGUCAUUGGGUUUUGUGUUGACUUUAUUCCUUACCUUAAGCCAAUUGGUGUCCCUCAAUCGCAGUAUGAGGGGUGACUAAGUGGACAAGGCACGCUAGGAGCGAAAUCAAUAAUAUGUAGGGACGUGCAUUCUUGGGCGCAAGCACACUACACAGUUCUAUAUAAUUCCACCUUGGUGGCCCCGUAUAUCAAUGAACACAAGAAUAUUGGAUGCUCCAAACACCUGGAGCAGUCUGACGACUGGAUUACCAAUGAAGACAUUGGGACUUUCGGCGGUUGGUUGCAAACAUAUCUCAUGCAUAGCAAAAUUGUUGAAGAUGAGCUAUACUUGUUCGCCAGGACACCAUCUUCGACUGUAUUUACUUACCAAGGGUACGAGAUAAAUGGGAAUACAUUUCACAUGAUCGCCCAAGAUAAAAAGAGCACAAACCGAAACAGUGGUGUCUGCUUUGAUGCAACAAACACCAAUAGGGCAAAGGAUACAUAUUAUGGUUACAUAGAGUAGAUAGGGAACUUGACAACGGAUGUGAAUUUAAGGUCUCUUUUUUGGUGCAAAUGGAUCAGUAUGAUUGGAGGCGGGGUACAAGUAGACCCGCAGUACGGAAUGACAAUAGUGGAUCUCAACAAUCUUGGGUACACAAACAAACCAUUCGUCUUUGUCAAUGAGGUGGCGCAUGUUUUCUAUGUGAAGGACAUGUCUACCCAACCGAGAAAAAGAAAAGGUAAGGAAGCGAAUACAUCAUACGAUGAGCCAAAGCGCCACACAGUUCUUUCAAGGAAAAGAAACAUCGUGGGUGUGGAGGAGAAGACAGACAUGUCAAAAGAUUAUGAAAAGUUUCAUGAAAUUCCUCCCUUCACAUUGAAGACUGACCCAAGCAUCCUGUUAAAUGAUGAAGAUUAUACAUGGUUAUGGCGCAAUA
Long non-coding RNA from Triticum aestivum (bread wheat), 3583 nucleotides. RefSeq lists it as uncharacterized. The transcript is spliced from 3 exons. The record is from RefSeq and is a predicted model, not a curated record. Lineage: Eukaryota; Viridiplantae; Streptophyta; Magnoliopsida; Poales; Poaceae.